UCCGUAGGUGAACCUGCGGAGGGAUCAUUACCGAGUUUACAACUCCCAAACCCCUGUGAACAUACCUUAAUGUUGCCUCGGCGGAUCAGCCCGCGCCCCGUAAAACGGGACGGCCCGCCAGAGGACCCAAACUCUAAUGUUUCUUAUUGUAACUUCUGAGUAAAACAAACAAAUAAAUCAAAACUUUCAACAACGGAUCUCUUGGUUCUGGCAUCGAUGAAGAACGCAGCAAAAUGCGAUAAGUAAUGUGAAUUGCAGAAUUCAGUGAAUCAUCGAAUCUUUGAACGCACAUUGCGCCCGCUGGUAUUCCGGCGGGCAUGCCUGUUCGAGCGUCAUUUCAACCCUCAAACCCCCGGGUUUGGUGUUGGGGAUCGGCUCUGCCUCACGGCGGUGCCGCCCCCGAAAUACAUUGGCGGUCUCGCUGCAGCCUCCAUUGCGUAGUAGCUAACACCUCGCAACUGGAACGCGGCGCGGCCAUGCCGUAAAACCCCAACUUCUGAAUGUUGACCUCGGAUCAGGUAGGAAUACCCGCUGAACUUAAGCAUAUCAAUAAGCGGAGGA
RNAcentral lists this ribosomal RNA (561 nucleotides) under Fusarium oxysporum. RNAcentral's name for it is "eukaryotic LSU rRNA". The stretch from base 182 to 335 matches the Rfam family "5.8S ribosomal RNA". Lineage: Eukaryota; Fungi; Ascomycota; Sordariomycetes; Hypocreales; Nectriaceae. The record is from RNAcentral.